GUUCGGUCUGAAUUUACAGAGUCUCCUUCACUUUCGAUCUUCAGCCUCAGGUGUUUAUGCACAUUUAAUUAUGCUCGGCCAAGCUUUUUGGUGGGCACCAGUCUCGUCACCACGCGAUACACAGUACGCGGUAAUAGCUAGGGAAACUAUGCAGUCUAUUUUCGAGCUUGAGGAUUCGCUGUUGUCGGGCGAACCACGGGGUCUUCCUCUCUUUGCAUGCAAAGAAAGGUCUUUUGCUAGAAUACCAACUGUUUUCCUUUCCCGACCGCAGAAAGGUUUUAAGUGUAUUUUUAGAAGCGGUUCCACGAUUCAAAUUUUACUAAUCCUCCUCUUUUUCGUUAUUUUUCAGGGAGAUGCUUAAUUUUCUGCCACCUCUUUAUGGGCUUAAAAUAGAAGCUUAAAUAAUUUGAUAUAAUGCCUAACUCUAAAUAUGAGGAGUACACAUUUUUAAAGGAUCAUUGAUUAUUCUGAGAGUGAUGUUACAGGAAUUGAAUUGAAUCUGUAAAAAUUAAAUGGAAAUAUUUGUAUGAUAUUGUGUGAAGAAGACAAUAUAUUACAAGGGGUUUAAAAGACCAGUUACCAUCUUCGUGUCGUACUCUACUGUAUCGACUGAAUUUCACCACAGCGCUGUCAGUAGCGGGAAUUAAAAAUUCAAAAUACUUUCUAUGCUCAGAAGAAAACUUUCCCUCUUACAGAAAGAAGGAAUACUCAUUUUUAUUUAAAGAUAGCUUACUUUGCUUAUGGCAAGUGUAUUAUGAAAUAUAGUAUUAAUUAAUUAUAUGUUUCAUAAGUAUACAAUAUGCAACUUGUUAAAGAAGAGUCUAAGAAAGGAAUGUAAUAUCAACAUGAAAUUGUAUUGGAUGUAAGAUUGUACAAAAUUAUUUUGUUACAUGUGAAUGGACAUGUCAAUAUAAAUAUCUAAAAUGUAUGUUAUAUGUGGUCAUCGACAGAUGUCUCCACCAAUCCAUAUAAGCAUCUAACGUUGAUAAUACAGAACACUUCACAAUGCGAAUACAAAAAUAGCAACUAUAAAAUCUUCAGAAUGAAAUUCUUACACAGCACGAAUAUAAAAAAGGGUCAUUUUGUCAAACAAAAAAUAUUGUAACAGCUAUCAUUACAAUUCUCAUAGAAUUUAAUGAACAUUUUGUAAGUCAUGAAACGCAGAAGAGCGUUAUUGUAAAGAAAUGGGACAAGAGGAUCCUAAAGCAGAGGGACUAUUGUGAGUCUGUGAAAAUUCCACGGAUAUCGUUCCCUCCUUCAAAUCGAAUUGACAAUUAAGUAUUUAGGGUUGCUGCGGGUCGCGUGUCAGGAAGAGUCAUCUUCGCCAGCAUGAUUGUGACGAGAAGAUGAAUUACAAUAAAUAAAUGUAUUACAUACAUUUAGUAUCAAAUACACUUUGCACGUACAUGUGUGGUGGUGUUCAGAGGUGGAUGCAAGAAGAAUUAUAUGGUAAAAUAAAAUUCUUAUUUGCUAAAUUGUAAUAACUGCAUUCCUUUUCAUUCGCUUCUUUUUGAAAACGAUUUUAGGGGAGAUUAACCGUUCAUCAAUACACGUAUGCCACAAUUCUGGCGAUAUAUGGGCGCAGUUCGGUCUUUCCCCGGAACACAUAGAAUUCUGUGUAAUCAGAUCUAAAGACGUCCCACGUAAAUUCCCACCCGCAGUCAUGUUAUAUUAUAUACGUGGAUAAUCUUAUGCGGGAUGAUAGACUGAGUUUUUACCUCUCACCCUCUGUAUCAUUGAACUCUAUGAGAAACUGAAUUUCUCGUUCUCACGAAACAUGGGGGUAUAGGUCCUCUAAUUGGCCGUCAAUGUACUUCGAGUACGAAUUUCUGUGGAAUAUUUGCUUCGCGUGAGAAUCCGAUAAAAGUAUCACACAAGUAUAUUUUUGUUUAGGAAAAAUGAAGCUGGUGGUACAUUUUUUAUUUUACUACAGGUAGAAAGAUAUAUUUUUACAAUAAAUACACGAGAAUGAUCUGAAGGAUGUUAUAAUAAUAAGGAAAUAACUGGAGGAAAAAGAAGUAUAAAUUAAUGUAUCAUUACGAGAAACACCCUGUACGCGAAUAGAGGACACGAUGGCGACGGAUGUGACAACGUUAGGUUAAUAAGGAUGCAACGUCAUCGGGUUGCGACGUUACAUUUUCUCCUUUGAAUCACGAUCUCCAAGACCAUGAUUAAAAAUCAGCUUAAUUACCGUUUUCAUUAAAUGUUCACGACGUUUUCAUGAAGACAAAAUCUCAACAACCACUGUACUAGAUUCCCCAUAAUAUUCAAAACAACUUAAAUCUUUGAAAUUUUUAAUUUGACAUAUCUUUAAAAUUCAAUCCAUAAAUUUUCAAACCUAAUCUACUUUGCUCCACAGGAUUCGCUCAUGGGACUACACCUGUUGCAUCCCUGAAAGGAAUAUCCAGCACAAUUGAAAGAAUCCACCUUUUCCAGAGGCGAAUAAACUCAGAGACAGAUGCGUGGACUGUACCCCGGAGGAAGUCCUGAGAAUGCGUUCACCGGCGAUAUCUGCGCGAAGAGAGAAACGUAACGUGAGUAUAGCCGGCGAAUAGCGGAGGUUCCCCGUCGCCUUCGCGCAAUUACGUCCAAUUGAACUAAUUCAGUCCAAUUGACGUUAACAGGCUCAAUUGGUCGGUCCUGCUAGUGUUCACUGGGGCCACCACGGCAAUACUAUCCGGUCGGCGCAUACCUACGACGUAAAAAAGCGG
Molecule: unclassified non-coding RNA, 2711 nt
Organism: Megachile rotundata (alfalfa leafcutting bee)
Lineage: Eukaryota; Metazoa; Arthropoda; Insecta; Hymenoptera; Megachilidae
Source: RefSeq, a predicted model, not a curated record